RNAcentral lists this RNase P RNA (383 nucleotides) under Klebsiella pneumoniae. Its description in RNAcentral is "RNase P RNA component class A". It matches the Rfam family "Bacterial RNase P class A". From Rfam's summary of the family: Ribonuclease P (RNase P) is a ubiquitous endoribonuclease, found in archaea, bacteria and eukarya as well as chloroplasts and mitochondria. Its best characterised activity is the generation of mature 5'-ends of tRNAs by cleaving the 5'-leader elements of precursor-tRNAs. Cellular RNase Ps are ribonucleoproteins. Lineage: Bacteria; Pseudomonadati; Pseudomonadota; Gammaproteobacteria; Enterobacterales; Enterobacteriaceae. The record is from RNAcentral.
GAAGCUGACCAGACAGUCGCCGCUUCGUCGUCGUCCGCCUUCGGGGGGAGACGGGCGGAGGGGAGGAAAGUCCGGGCUCCAUAGGGCAAGGUGCCAGGUAACGCCUGGGGGGUGUCACAGCCCACGACCAGUGCAACAGAGAGCAAACCGCCGAUGGCCCGCGCAAGCGGGAUCAGGUAAGGGUGAAAGGGUGCGGUAAGAGCGCACCGCGCGGCUGGUAACAGUCCGCGGCACGGUAAACUCCACCCGGAGCAAGGCCAAAUAGGGGUUCAUAAGGUACGGCCCGUACUGAACCCGGGUAGGCUGCUUGAGCCAGUGAGCGAUUGCUGGCCUAGAUGAAUGACUGUCCACGACAGAACCCGGCUUAUCGGUCAGUUUCACCU